UACGUAGGGGGCGAGCGUUGUCCGGAGUUACUGGGCGUAAAGCGCACGCAGGCGGUCUGCUAAGUUUGGAGUGACAGUUGGUGGCUUAACUGCCAAAGUGCUUCGAAAACUGACAGACUUGAGGGCUUCAGAGGGACACGGAAUUCCGGGUGGAGUGGUGAAAUGCGUAGAGAUCCGGAGGAACACCAAAGGCGAAGGCAGUGUCCUGGGAGUACCUGACGCUCAGGUGCGAAAGCCAGGGGAGCAAACGGG
RNAcentral lists this ribosomal RNA (252 nucleotides) under uncultured bacterium. RNAcentral's name for it is "partial 16S ribosomal RNA". It matches the Rfam family "Bacterial small subunit ribosomal RNA", at positions 524 to 776 of the family's 1533-position model. The record is from RNAcentral.